GGGGGGGUGGGGGGCCCUCCCCGAGGCUGCGGGCCGUGAGGACCGCUUGUGGCAUCUCUGACUGUGUUUCUCAGUGAGCGAGGAACCACGUGCAUACUGAACUGGGACAAUCCUCUCAGAGUGUGAAAAUCUCUCCGCCCCACCCCAUCUUGCUAUGCCGAGAAAGAAGGAGUAUGCAAGAGACAAAGGAAAGAGCUGGCAUCUUCCUUCGCUUGGCAGACCACAGGGAGAGCUGCUUUUCCAGUCAUAUUUAUUGUACUGGACAAAAGUAUCCAUCCAUGACGGAUUGAAAUUAAUUAACAAACCAACCAACACAAACAUGACCGGUCCUACAUCGGCAGAUAGUUUGGGACUCCCUGCGUGAUGCCAUGCCAUCUCAAGUCAAGAGGGGAGAUUCAGAAAAAUCGGGACUACAUCAGAGGCUCGCCCCCGCCUGGGCAACGCAGGGGCACUCAAGCCUGAGGGGGCCAGGCUAUAACCUGGAAGGGGUGGGUCCUCAUUGCUUUCUGUUUCCGAGUUUCCCAGGGGCCUCGCUACCACAGGGAAGUGCUGGGUAGGUAUUGGCGGGGGGCUUGGGCUAAGUCAAUUCCAUGUCCCAGCGCCCCAGUCUCCUCACCUGGAACUGGGUCACCCGCAAGUGGGUCGGCGGCGCGGUCCCUCCCCGACAUGCCUGCCACCUGCCCUGAAGAAGCAGCAGGUCUUCACCCGGCCGCCCGAUCUGUAGGUUGACACCGUCUUGCAGGUGAAUGUGCCAGCCCCGGCAGCGCCCUGGUCCUCCGCACCCAACCUGGCCCGUUCUGGUCUGGCCAAGGAACAAGCGCUUUCUUUUUAUGAGCCUGCAAACCUCCAGCCUCCCAGCCUCCCAGCCUUCCAGCUGGCUGGGCGCCAGGGGCCGGGACUGACACACAGGCCCCCAUCACCACCCAGACCCACGGCCCCGGCUGCUCCCGAUUCUGGAGCGGCUGAGUCACCUCGCCUCCAUGAAAGACUUCCAAAAGAAUAAAGCAACAGGCUGUCCUCGGGGCCUGCGGAUUGCAAUCUAUCAGCACGGCUGCGUUUGGGCCUCCGUUUUCUGCAAGCCACGAACGCCUCUAAUCCGGAGAAGCAGAAUGUGGGUGUCGAAUUGUGAACUGU
This is a long non-coding RNA of Ailuropoda melanoleuca (giant panda), 1134 nucleotides long. RefSeq lists it as uncharacterized. The record is from RefSeq and is a predicted model, not a curated record. NCBI's taxonomy places the organism in Eukaryota, Metazoa, Chordata, Mammalia, Carnivora, Ursidae. The transcript is spliced from 3 exons.